CUGGGGUCAAUAAAUGAAACCGAAUUACCGAAAUAGGCUCCAACGCGUUGCAUUGUGGUAAGACCUUCAUUGGCGGGUCAGGCGGGAACAAUGGGUGGGAACCACUGAGCUAUAAUAUUACUGGAGGACGUGCUCCUAUCUAUCCUUCAGUCAAACGAGUGUCCGGAAAAACAUGGCGGAUUUUCAGGUUUGCUGACGCCAUAUGGUUCCUCCGGCUCAUGGCAAUUACCACUGACCAACCGCGAUCCUACGCUUGAAAUAAAAUCCUUUACCCCCCUGGUUUUUGCACAAAUUUUGAUCAUAAUUUUCGAGUUUUGACUGAAAAUCUUGAUAUUUUUGCAGUCGAGAAAAAAGUGCGUUAGUUUUCAGUUUUUGCUCUGCUUGUAGACGAAACAUUUACCUCGAAAGGAUUAUUAUAUUUCUUGUUUUCAGGUGAGAUUCACGAAAUUUUUUUUUUUUUUUACUGCGUUCUGGCCUGUAUAAUGAGAUAUUCAACAUGUCAUUAGUCAGAAAUCUAGGUAGAAAUCAUAUUACCAGAUAAGCUGCCCACAGUAUCCUGAGCUUCUGGCACCCCUAGGCUAUUUUCUACUGGCACCCUAGAUUAUGCAUACAGUAUAAUAACCACAGACUCUAGUAUAUAUAAACACAAAGAAUAUAGAUAGAAGCACAUUGUUUCAUGCCUUUACACCUGUAUAUACACUUAUUUAGCACAUACAAUUGCAUAAAAUCAAGCAUGUCAGAUUUCAGUCAUCAGUCUAUGUAGAAAACCCAGAGGAUUUGAG
Molecule: non-coding RNA, 782 nt
Organism: Paramuricea clavata
Lineage: Eukaryota; Metazoa; Cnidaria; Anthozoa; Malacalcyonacea; Plexauridae
Source: the annotation of a GenBank genome assembly